Molecule: ribosomal RNA, 253 nt
Filed under: uncultured bacterium
Lineage: Bacteria
Description: partial 16S ribosomal RNA
Rfam family: Bacterial small subunit ribosomal RNA
Source: RNAcentral
CACGUAGGGUGCGAGCGUUGUCCGGAAUUAUUGGGCGUAAAGAGCUCGUAGGCGGUGUGUCGCGUCGGCCGUGAAACCUGCAGCUUAACUGUGGGCUUGCGGUCGAUACGGGCAUCACUGGAGUUCGGCAGGGGAGACUGGAAUUCCUGGUGUAGCGGUGAAAUGCGUAGAUAUCGAGAGGAACACCUGCGGCGAAGGCGGGUUGCUGGGCUGAUACUGACGCUGAGGCGCGAAAGCCAGGGGAGCGAACGGG